GGAUGUGAGGGCGAUUUGGCUGCAACAUCUGCCACUCCAUUGAUCCCCAGGGUUGAUUUGGCUUCCUUGCUCACUGCUCCAUGUGCGUCCCUUCCGAAGUUGCGCAUACGGUGGAAGAGGAAGAGCAUCCCAGAUAGAAGGAGUAUACCGUUCUUCGGUCAAGGAUAAUGA
Non-coding RNA from Podarcis lilfordi (Lilford's wall lizard), 171 nucleotides. NCBI's taxonomy places the organism in Eukaryota, Metazoa, Chordata, Lepidosauria, Squamata, Lacertidae. The record is from the annotation of a GenBank genome assembly.